Non-coding RNA from Odocoileus virginianus texanus, 4628 nucleotides. The record is from RefSeq and is a predicted model, not a curated record. NCBI's taxonomy places the organism in Eukaryota, Metazoa, Chordata, Mammalia, Artiodactyla, Cervidae.
AAUACUUUUGUACAAAUUGCUUUUUUUUUCCUAAUGGACAAAUGGCAUGCAGUUCCAAAGUCUAUUAUUUUUAUGAGACUAAGAGUUACCCAUGAAAUGUGUUUCUAAAUUUGGAGUUCUUAAACUAAAGUCAGACCCAUAUAAGAAUUUACUGAGGAUUCUGCCAGACAGUAUCGCUUUUCUCCUACUUCUGUGCAAAUAAGCAUUUGGAAUUUUCAAGGAUAAUGCUUAGUCAUUAACACAUCGUCAAUGCUGCCUUGAGUUGUUGUGAUUUGGGCUUGCUGCUAUUAUUCCAUUUUAAUUAGAAAUCUUUAUUAGUUUGACUUCAUCAUUAUCACUUUAAUUUCUUGUGAGCUAUUUGGUCGGCUAUAUAAUGAGAUGCCUAUUAGCAUCCAUUGCAAUUUUGGCCCAUAAUUUUCCAGUGCCCAGAUUUAGGACAAUGUGUUACAGUACAAAUUUGAACCCUUCAGACUCCUAUUGCUAAGAUUUGUGAGGUGUUAUUACAGAUAAUUAUAUAAUGAUAAAUAUACACAUAUUAUUUUGUGAUUAUAGAAAUAAUUCCCUCAGAAUGUCUUUGAAUGGUGAAAUUUUAUGGUUAUUGAAAGUGUUUCUUCAACUGGGAAGGCAAACACGGUGACUUGGGAUCAUAGUCAGUGUCUCAAAUAACUAAUGUCAAAAAUAUUUAAGUGGCAAUGAUUUGUUGCUGAUAAUUCCCAAAUCAGAAUCUCUUCCAAUUCCCCCUCAUCUCUACUUCCAUACAUUCAACCAAAUAAAUUCAUUAUUUCCAACAUGGAAACCAUCUUCCCUCUCCCACACCGAAGUUGCAUCUUGUAGCUGCUCAUGUCUCAGGAAAUGAUAUCACUGUUCACGCACUUCUCCGUCUGCAAACCUGGCUCCUCCCUCUGCCCCUGUCCAGUCCCUAAGUUCUGUUGAUUCUGUCUCCAAGACACUUUAGAAUCCCUCCUCUUCUUUCCAUUUCUUCUGCUACCAUCCUAAGGCUCUGCCAUCUUUCAUCUGGAUUUUUCACUGCUUUAUGCCCAGUCUCCACAGUUAUUUCUAGCACAUGGUAGGUGCUUGCCCAGAAUCAUGCCUAGCACACAAUAGGUACUUAUGUGAUAUCUUUUGCUUGUCUGUUUGGAUCCACUCUCCUCCCUUCUCCCACUGUUCUGGGCCCAGGAAGCUGACGUGAUGGACCAUCUCAAUAGGAUGCCUUGCCUCUGGCUCUUUCAGCAGUGCUAUUCAACUACAAUAAGAUGCAAGCCACUGGUACUGGGUAACAGGAUAAUUGAAGAUUCAUGCAAGACUAAUGGAUUCUUUGUGAGAAGGAUGGAGCAUGAAGGGAACCUGAUAUCCCUGCACGGUGACAACAGCAGCCGUUAUUUAUCAGAAAUGUAAAUGGAUUUACUCGGCCCGUGGCAUCACCCCUGCUGUAAUGCCAAGUACACACUUGGCACCACUUACGUCUUUCCUCCCGACCUCCCUCCACUUUGCUUUACCAGCACUUGUUGGCCCUUCUUGCAUCAGACUGUCGAUUUGCAUGACAUUACAUAACUCUGGGUGUGUGUCCUCACUGCAGGUUUAGGCCAGCGUGGAUGGGGCAUUGAAGCUACAAGAAAGACACAUGGGCCCAUCUAGCCCCAAGUCAAGACCAGAACAAGAGGGGGGACUUGAAAAGAUAUCCCUCCCCUUGGCCCAACCCAGCCUGGACGCAGGUGGGAUUGAAGACUGGUUUGGAGAAACGUGCUCAUGUUCUGUGGCUGCAGGUGGAACAAACCGAUGAUCCUAAAGAAAUCAAAGCUGAUGAAGUUCUUCUUAGAGUUCAGGGGAACACAUCCUCAGAGCCUUGGGUUCUGAGGCCAGUCUUGGGGGUGCACUGGUGGGGAGACAAAAGCGGGCCAUGAACCCAGGGAUGAGGGGGCUGGGAGAUGACCCUCUUCAGCGGUUGUGUGUGAUUCUGCCUGUCUUCUGUGAUCCCAGAUCCAUCGUUAAUAUUCUUCUAGAUGCUGCAACCUGGUCUCCGCUGGGCUGCAGGACCCAGAUGAGCCGAGGGGAAGGCCAAGCUCAGCCUUUGUAUUCGUUUCCUGCUGCUGUUGUCGUUAAUUACCACCUACCUAGUGACUUAAAAUAACAGUCUUUCCUACAGUCCUGGGGGUCAGAAGUCCACUGCGGUGGGUCUCAGGGGACUAAAAUCAAGGCUGGGGUUGCUUCUGGGGGCUCCAGGGAGAACCAGUGACCUUGCCUUUUCUUCCAUCUAGAGGCUUCUGCAUUCCUUGGCCCGUGGGUGCACUAUUCCAGCCUACACUCUUUUUGUGCAUCUUUUUCUCAGACUCUGACCUUCUUGUCUCCCUCUUAUAAGGACCCUUGGGAGCAUCCUGGGCCCACAUGGUGAAUCAGGGGAGUUUCCCCCCGGCGGUAUUUGUAACUCAGUCACAUCCUGCAAAGUCGCUUUUACCCUAUAAAGCAUCAGGUUCACAGAUUUCAGGGUUUGGGACCCGGACACCUUUAGAGGUCAUGACUAGCUUUCCAUAGCCUUCCAGCCCCUCCCAAGGGAGCAUCCACAUCUGUGCCCUGAGAGGAGCCCACCCAAGGGGCAGAGGUGGGUGAGGCGGCAGAGGGGAGCCCCAAGAUGCAGGAGGCCAGGGUGCGAAAAUGGGGCAGGGGCGGGUCCUCAACACUCUUCAUUUCAGAUUAACAAGUCAUUCUGAGUAUAUGCAAAACCCAAAUAUGACAUAGGACAUAUUUGUACUAAAAAUUAUUCCAUUGUUUAUCUGAUAGUCGCAUUGAACAGGGCAUCCUGUAUUUUCACUUGCUAAAUCUGGAAACCCUAGAGGAACUUACAGAAAUAGUUCUGAGGCGUCUGGAAGGAAGACACUUGAAGGGAGCUAGCAUCUUACAAUGAGGCCAUCACAGAGCUUCGCUGGUGUUACUACAUCACACGUUGUACUCACUGAUUUUAUAAAUGGCCGUCGUGGUUCCCUUAACAGUUUCUUCUUGCCAUGUGAAUAUUUCUCUAAUCUUAAUUUAACUGUCUUUUCUAAUGUUAGGUUUUCUGCAUUUUUUUAAACUUGACUAAUUUUACCCUAGUACUAAAUAUGUGUUCAAAAUGUGAUUCCAAUCAAUAUAUCAAUAACUGAACUUUUUGUUUCCAUAGAGCAAAGACAUCACUUGUUGCCUACAAUAAACAGAUGCGUGGCUCACACAGUCACACUCAUAACUGAGCCAUUUACUGUCAGGGUUCUUGGAUAUCAAGACGAUCAAGCUAAAGUUAACAACCAGUUAUGUUCUUUGUGCAUCAGAAAAUUCUCAGAAGUCUUAUGUAAAACACCAUAACUCUUCAAAUAGCAUCAUGACCUGAGUACUGAAAAGAGAUUGAAGUAAAUUACUGCAUCAUGGAAGCUUCCCUACACAGUGGGCAAUGAGAAGUGUGAACAAGCCCCAGGAUGAUUUGACAUCAUUUUUAAAGAGUAUGUAUUCUCACUUGAAUUACACAAUAAUCUGAACUAUCUAGACCAGCCCUGACCAACAGAAAUAAUGCCAACCAAAUGUUCUAGGAGCCACAUUAAAAAAAUAAAAAAGAAACAGGAGAAGUUAAUUUCAAUGAUGUAUUUCACUCAACACAUCCAAAGUACCAUUCGUACAACUUGUAAUAAAUGCAAACACUCUUCAAGAGAUGUUUUUAUGUUCUUUUCUUUUUUCCUAUUAAAGUUUUUGAAAUCUGGAGUGUACCUCAUAGUUAGAGCCCAUCUCAACUUGAAGUAGACACAUUUCCAAAACUCGAUAGCCACACACGCCUGGUGAGUUCCAUGACUGACUUGGGCAGUCCUACAGUGGACUACACAUGAACCAACGCAGUGUCUCUUCCAAACACAGAAGCCCAGACCAAUCAGAGACUGCCCCAUGCUGACGGGCACUGCUAGGGUACUUCUGAAUUUUCCCAGCAUCGAGGAGUACUUUAAACCCGAAAUACCAAUCUCAUUUGUUUCCAUUGUCAUUCCUUCAAACGUGAAAGACGGAGCGCUCAGGCACACAGAGAAGACUAAUUAGAAUCAAGUAAUUAGGAGAGAACCGUAUGUUAAUUGAUUCCUUUACACCUACAGGAAAAGAGAAGCAGGAAGUCUAACAGCCCAGCACCGAGGACGAGAGAAGUCACCCUUCUGAAGUAGAAUGAGCUUCCGGAGCUGCCUCAAGUAUAAAAUGCAUCUCCACCCUUGAAGGUGAGCAUUUGGCACUGAGCAUGCUGCAGGCUCUCAGGGAAGGAAAAACUGACGUUUCGACCCGACCCGUAUGGCUGUGAACCUGGGCUUGAGACAGCCACACACUGACAGUCGUGCCGUAGGACUCAGCGGAGCGGCUAGGACACGCACGGCAUCCUGAGCUCCACGGGAACACCUUUAUCACAUGAAAACAGGGGUGCCUGGCAUUCUUACCAUGUGGCUCUGUCAAUGGCAUCCACCCGCCCACGCGUGGCAGGGAGGAAGCCGGCACUCAGCUGAAGUGGGCACUGAGCUUUGUCUGUGUGCGUGAGUGCAUGUAAGAACUCACUGCCAUGUCACGCGACCUGAGUCUACGGUUUGCACAUUCCAUGUUUGAGGUUAAUAAAAUACACCUGGUGGUUGUUGUUUAGUCAC